This 443-nucleotide long non-coding RNA is filed under the name Rattus norvegicus (Norway rat). RNAcentral describes it as "long non-coding RNA NONRATT018668". Lineage: Eukaryota; Metazoa; Chordata; Mammalia; Rodentia; Muridae. The record is from RNAcentral.
CAGAGCGGCCUCCCCCGUCCCCGCUCCGUCCAUCUUGGAGCCGGGCAAAGAAGCAACGCGGGGCCUACCCUCGCUCCGUGCCACGCGGACACCAGCACUGUAGGGCCGGGACGGGGACGCAGGGUCCGAACCCUCUCCCAGCGAGGCACGCCUCGAGAAAGAGCGCGCACAGCGGCAAGGGGAAUUUAUUGCUCAGCCAGAGUCCAAGAUGGCGACCGGCGGUGACGUACGCAAGAUCUCGUGAGAGCGAAAACGCGCGGCUUGACGGUGCCCACGCUUCUGCUUCAGAGGAAGAGCGCCUCUCGGAUAAGAACAGCACACUUUUAAACAGUACAGACUAGAGAAAAGUAAGAGGGGCGAAGUCUAAAAAUGAAACCGCUUCUGCCCAUCUGCAGGCUGCUUAGACUUUUAAACAGAUUUCCUGUAAAACCAAGCCCUCCUGU